GCUGGAAUCGCUAGUAAUCGCGGAUCAGAAUGCCGCGGUGAAUACGUUCCCGGGUCUUGUACACACCGCCCGUCACACCAUGGGAGUCGGAAAUGCCCGAAGUCGGUGACCUAACUGAAAGGAAGGAGCCGCCGAAGGCAGGUCUGGUGACUGGGUGAAGUCGUAACAAGGUAUC
RNAcentral lists this ribosomal RNA (175 nucleotides) under uncultured bacterium. RNAcentral's name for it is "partial 16S ribosomal RNA". It matches the Rfam family "Bacterial small subunit ribosomal RNA", at positions 1325 to 1500 of the family's 1533-position model. The record is from RNAcentral.